GAAGCUGGAAUUGCUGUAAUGGCAGGUCAGCAUACUGCCGUGAAUACGUUCCCGGGCCCUUGUACACACCGCCCGUCACACCAUGAGAGUUGGGAAUACCCGAAGCCUGUGAGCUAACUUAUAGAGGCAGCAGUCGAAGGUAGAAUCAAUGAUUGGGGUGAAGUCGUAACAAGGUAGC
Molecule: ribosomal RNA, 178 nt
Filed under: uncultured bacterium
Lineage: Bacteria
Description: partial 16S ribosomal RNA
Rfam family: Bacterial small subunit ribosomal RNA
Source: RNAcentral